UCCAAAUGUCAACAAUAGUUUAGCUGCAUCGGUGUGUCCAACAGUGGCUGUUAGUAACAAUGGUGGUGUUCUAUUGGAAUUUCCUUUAUUAAUGUCUGCAUUGUUUCUAAUCAAUAGCUCCAUUGCAUUACAGUUACACGAGCAAGCAGCUGCAAGAAUAGGUAGCAGCUUUAAACUGUCUGGUUUGUUUACUUCUGCACCAAUUUUCAACAAUUCUUCAAUGCUAGCCAAGUCUCCGCGUAAACAUGCAGCUGUUAAAGGAGUCUUGCAUCUGUGGGGAUUUCUUUUCUUUUCUGACCAAUUGGCACUCGUUGGCAACAUUGCUCUAUUGAUACAAUUGGAGUUAACAUAUUUCUUUAUCAGUCUUAACAUAUCAAAAUUACCUCCGAAGCAUGCAAGUAUUAAAAGCCUAGUUUGUUCUGCUUCGGUUGUACCGAAAAUAAGGUCGGUAGAUUCAUUUUUGGACAAAACCAUGUCAAUU
Molecule: long non-coding RNA, 481 nt
Filed under: Mytilus galloprovincialis (Mediterranean mussel)
Lineage: Eukaryota; Metazoa; Mollusca; Bivalvia; Mytilida; Mytilidae
Source: RNAcentral